GACGAACGCUGGCGGCGUGCUUAACACAUGCCAGUCGAACGGAAAGGCCCUGCUUUUGUGGGGUGCUCGAGUGGCGAACGGGUGAGUAACACGUGAGUAACCUGCCCUUGACUUUGGGAUAACUUCAGGAAACUGGGGCUAAUACCGGAUAGGAGCUCCUGCUGCAUGGUGGGGGUUGGAAAGUUUCGGCGGUUGGGGAUGGACUCGCGGCUUAUCAGCUUGUUGGUGGGGUAGUGGCUUACCAAGGCUUUGACGGGUAGCCGGCCUGAGGGGGUGACCGGCCACAUUGGUACUGAGAUACGGCCCAGACUCCUACGGGAGGCAGCAGUGGGGAAUAUUGCACAAUGGGCGGAAGCCUGAUGCAGCAACGCCGCGUGCGGGAUGACGGCCUUCGGGUUGUAAACCGCUUUCGCCUGUGACGAAGCGUGAGUGACGGUAAUGGGUAAAGAAGCACCGGCUAACUACGUG
RNAcentral lists this ribosomal RNA (468 nucleotides) under uncultured bacterium. RNAcentral describes it as "partial 16S ribosomal RNA". It matches the Rfam family "Bacterial small subunit ribosomal RNA", at positions 28 to 507 of the family's 1533-position model. The record is from RNAcentral.